UUGAUACUCCCUCUGUCCUAAAAUUCUUGUCUUAAAUUUAUCUAGAUAUUAAUGUAUCUAGUCACGUUUUAGUAUUUACAUACACUCAUUUCUAAACAAAUCUAAGACAAUAAUUUUGGGGCGGAGGGAGUAUGUU
Molecule: non-coding RNA, 136 nt
Organism: Hordeum vulgare subsp. vulgare (domesticated barley)
Lineage: Eukaryota; Viridiplantae; Streptophyta; Magnoliopsida; Poales; Poaceae
Source: Rfam